GGUUACACAGUGUUUCUUUGACCUGUUUAAGUGUGAGAGUUCUGAAGGGACUAGAUUCAACCGUGUCCCUCUUUUCCUCCUUCCGCAAAACCAAUCCUUUUGACACGUCUUCUUCGCCUGCUCCAAUUUUCGUUGGUUUCAGUCCAUUCCACACCCUGUUUGUUUUUGUCCGAUACAGCUGUGGAAAGAAUACAGCCCUCUUUUUCCGAUUACAACCGCAUUCCUUUUGAAGCACUAACUGCAACCCAGAACAUGCGGAUCUGAGCCCAUAGCGUUUGAGAACAUCUACCCCGGGAGCUACAAAAAGACGCCCAGGAACUGGCUACAACAUCUACAGCCUCAACCCCCAGACUCAACAUCUCUAACCCCAAGCUCAAAAACAAGGCGGAAUACCAGACACACCAACUGAUGGUGUUACUGAGGAACCUCUCCCUGACCCUGAAGGAAUACCAGACACACCAACUGAUGGUGUUACUGAGGAACCUCUCCCAGACCCUGAAGGAAUACCAGACACACCAACUGAUGGUGUUACUGAGGAACCUCUCCCAGACCCUGAAGGAAUACCAGACACACCAACUGAUGGUGUUACUGAGGAACCUCUCCCAGACCCUGAAGGAAUACCAGACACACCAACUGAUGGUGUUACUGAGGAACCUCUCCCAGACCCUGAAGGAAUACCAGACACACCAACUGAUGAUAAGUCAAGCUUUAUUUUCGCAACCAUAUUCAAUCAUGGACCACAUCUAAAUAUUUUUUUCUUGACAAUAAAUAUAACAAAUAUAUAUAUAACAAAAAUAACAAAGCAUGAAAUCUUGACAGAUGUGGGUGAUUUUCCUGACCCCUCAUCCCCAGGCCUACCAAAAGGGUGUCCUCUUUGGCGAGCGCUUCAGCUGCACCGCAUGUUUUGACUGACGCAGUCCUGAAACAACAAGAAGAGAUCAACACAUCAAACAGACUCAAACAGCAGCUGGAGGAUUUGAGUGCAUCCCUGUUGGGCUUCCCUGCAUACCUGGAUGAGAAGAGUGAGAGGAUAUGGGACCUGAUGGAGAGGAAUUUGAACCAGUUGGAGGAGAGAGGCACAGCACUGCUCUUCUAGCAGCUAUCCAGGCCCAGCAGCAAAGCCGGAGGAGAGAAGUGCCAGCGGCGGUGACCAGACCAACAAUGGUGACCUCAGCGACGAUACCCCCAUUGAACCCUACAUCAACUAUGCCACCGGCUAUGGUGAGCCCCCCAAUAACGGUGCCUCCAGCAACGGUGAGAUCUCCGAUGAUGCACCCUGCU
This 1281-nucleotide long non-coding RNA is filed under the name Salmo salar (Atlantic salmon). Its description in RNAcentral is "lncRNA (ENSSSAG00000108507.1)". The record is from RNAcentral. Lineage: Eukaryota; Metazoa; Chordata; Actinopteri; Salmoniformes; Salmonidae.